Molecule: small nucleolar RNA, 130 nt
Filed under: Mus spicilegus (steppe mouse)
Lineage: Eukaryota; Metazoa; Chordata; Mammalia; Rodentia; Muridae
Description: Small nucleolar RNA SNORA29 (ENSMSIG00000025725.1)
Rfam family: Small nucleolar RNA SNORA29
About the family: ACA29 is a member of the H/ACA class of snoRNA that guide the sites of modification of uridines to pseudouridines.
Source: Rfam by way of RNAcentral
CUUCGACUAUCACAGAGUCUCUGGGAAGAGACUUUAGUAGCCAUGCUUAUCAAAUCGAUUAAAGGUGCCUUGAUCUGGACAGGGGGCUUCCAAUGGCCUCCCUGUAUAUGAAAUGACUGCACAGUAAGCC